GUCCAGCUGAAGAGUCUCAAAAGGAACAAAACGCACGUCCUGGAU
This 45-nucleotide non-coding RNA is filed under the name Schistosoma mansoni. The record is from RNAcentral. Lineage: Eukaryota; Metazoa; Platyhelminthes; Trematoda; Strigeidida; Schistosomatidae.